AUUCAUUCUGAUAUGCCACAGCUUUCAGACAAUCAGCAUUUGGGGUUUGAACCUCCCCGUUUAUAUUUUUGAGUAACAUACAUCCGUAUUGGUCAGUUUCUCUGGCUUUGUGAGUAGAUACGAGGAGAGCACAAAUGAGCGCACUUGUGCCAGUGGCAUGCCGGAAGAGGGUCUUUAUGUAGGCAGUGGUUUGUGUAUUCGUGCAUGAAUGUGUCUACAUGUGUGCAUCUGUGUGUGUCUGUGUGUGUGUGUGUGUGUGAGCGUGUACAAGAGGUUGGGGAAUUUAGAUGCUGAGAAACAGGAAGAAAAGAACAUUACAUCUAAAAUGGUUCCAGUAAAUUACUUUUUGCCCAUUUUUAUCUUCACACCAGUUCAAACAUAUUUAUUAGUCUUUCUAAAACAGAUCUCAGUAUCAGUUCUUGUUUAAUAAAGCAGUCAACGAUAACAUUUCAAAACACAAAAUAAACAUUUCUAAUUGGACAAGUCCAGGUCUUCCCAUCUUGUUUGAGUCCGUUUGGCUCCUAAUGAACAAGAGCCGGCAUAGUGAUACUCAGCCAGCUACCACUGUGAGAUGAAUCCUUUUGCUGACACUGAGACCAAAUACUUUCAUAGGCGAAAGGUCAGAGGUCGAAAGGUCAAAACAUUGUGAAAUGUGUGUUUGUGUGUGUCUGAUGGAGGACGUUAGGGGCAGAGAUCAGAUUCACUUAGACGAAUUCCAGAUGGUCAGGAAUUUGUCAUCACUGGAACAAUUUACCCCAGGCAUUCUAGAGUGUGCCACUCUCUUAUUAGUAAGGGAAUGAGUGUUUAUAUCAGUGUGUGUGUGUGUGUGUGUGUGUGUGUGUUUUUUCACCCUAAGCAUGUGUUUAUUUCCCUUCCCUCAGCCUCUGCAACAAAUCUAUGGCUAGGCAGUAGCAUACACAAUGGUAAAAUUACACAGGUUUUAGGCAUUUGUAAAACAAUCACAAAUAAUUUCCCGAACCUUAACCAGUCAGUGUUAGUGCCUGAAUUGUUAACCCUCUAGGUAUUUGUGUAUUUAAACUCAGUCGCCUAACCAGUCACCAUGUGGAAGAAAGC
Long non-coding RNA from Esox lucius (northern pike), 1074 nucleotides. Lineage: Eukaryota; Metazoa; Chordata; Actinopteri; Esociformes; Esocidae. The record is from Ensembl.